Molecule: ribosomal RNA, 775 nt
Filed under: uncultured Neocallimastigales
Lineage: Eukaryota; Fungi; Neocallimastigomycota; Neocallimastigomycetes; Neocallimastigales
Description: partial large subunit ribosomal RNA
Rfam family: Eukaryotic large subunit ribosomal RNA
Source: RNAcentral
AGAGAGAGACAUGCGCGCAUAUCAAUAAGCGGAGGAAAAGAAACUAACAAGGAUUCCCUUAGUAACGGCGAGUGAAGCGGGAAGAGCUCAAAUUUGAAAUCUUCAAGGUUUUACCUUGACGAAUUGUAGUUUAAAGAAGUGUUUUCUGCUGAAGUUUUGGUAAAAGUUCUUUGGAAUAGGACAUCAUAGAGGGUGAGAAUCCCGUAUUUGACCAUUAUCUUUCAGCUUUGUGAUACACUUUCAAAGAGUCGGAUUGUUUGGGAAUGCAGUCCAAAAUGGGUGGUAAAUUUCAUCUAAAGCUAAAUAUUGGCGAGAGACCGAUAGCGAACAAGUACCGUGAGGGAAAGAUGAAAAGAACUUUGAAAAGAGAGUUAAACAGUACAUGAAAUUGUCAAAAGGGAAGCGUUUGACACCAGUGUUGUUUUCUCGAAAAUCAAUUAAAAAUGGCUCGAUUUUGUAUUGUUGAGACCUUAAAAGCUCACUGUACAUUUUUCGUGUCUUUUUUAAUGCACUUUUCGUUUAACAAGUCAACAUCAGUUUCUUUUGUUGUAAAAGGGUCAUUGGAAGGUGGCUUUCUUUUCGGAGAAAGUGUUUAUAGCCUUUGGCCUCUGCAAUCGGAGAGACUGAGGUCUGCAGCGUAGACUCUUCGGGGUUAGAUACAUUUGUGCUAAGUUAUAGCUUUCUAUAGACAACUUGUUGACUAUAAUUAGUCUUGUAGCUUACUCGCUUAUGCUAUUUUACCUACGCUUAGGAUGUUAAGUCGUAGAGCACGCAG